AGAUUCCCGUCAAUUUUCUUUGAGGUUCGCCCCGCCCGUCCCCGCGCCCGUCCCGCCGCCCCCGCCCGCCUACGGGAGGCAGCAGGGGGGAAUAUUGCACAAUGGGCGAAAGCCUGAUGCAGCAACGCCGCGUGAGGGAUGACGGCCUUCGGGUUGUAAACCUCUUUUAGCAGGGAAGAAGCGAAAGUGACGGUACCUGCAGAAAAAGCGCCGGCUAACUACGUGCCAGCAGCCGCGGUAAUACGUAGGGCGCAAGCGUUAUCCGGAAUUAUUGGGCGUAAAGAGCUCGUAGGCGGUUUGUCGCGUCUGCUGUGAAAUCCCGAGGCUCAACCUCGGGCCUGCAGUGGGUACGGGCAGACUAGAGUGCGGUAGGGGAGAUUGGAAUUCCUGGUGUAGCGGUGGAAUGCGCAGAUAUCAGGAGGAACACCGAUGGCGAAGGCAGAUCUCUGGGCCGUAACUGACGCUGAGGAGCGAAAGGGUGGGGAGCAAACAGGCUUAGAUACCCUGGUAGUCCACCCCGUAAACGUUGGGAACUAGUUGUCGGGGGCAUUGCACGGAAUUCGAGGCGCAGCUCACGCACUCAGUAGAAUGCCGGAGACUCGGGAAUCGA
Molecule: ribosomal RNA, 610 nt
Filed under: uncultured Microbacterium sp.
Lineage: Bacteria; Bacillati; Actinomycetota; Actinomycetes; Micrococcales; Microbacteriaceae
Description: bacterial SSU rRNA
Rfam family: Bacterial small subunit ribosomal RNA
Source: RNAcentral